AUACGGAGGAUGCGAGCGUUAUCCGGAUUUAUUGGGUUUAAAGGGCGCGUAGGUGGGAUAUUAAGUCAGCUGUGAAAGUUUGGGGCUCAACAUUAAAAUUGCAGUUGAUACUGGUUUCCUUGAGUACGGUACAGGUGGGCGGAAUUCGUGGUGUAGCGGUGAAAUGCUUAGAUAUCACGAAGAACUCCGAUCGCGAAGGCAGCUCACCGGGCCGGAACUGACACUGAUGCUCGAAAGUGCGGGUAUCAAACAGGAUUAGAUACCCUGGUAGUCCGCACAGUAAACGAUGAAUACUCGCUGUUUGCGAUACACGGUAAGCGGCCAAGCGAAAGCGUUAAGUAUUCCACCUGGGGAGUACGCCGGCAACGGUGAAACUCAAAUGAAUUGGCGGGG
Molecule: ribosomal RNA, 393 nt
Filed under: uncultured bacterium
Lineage: Bacteria
Description: partial 16S ribosomal RNA
Rfam family: Bacterial small subunit ribosomal RNA
Source: RNAcentral